This 603-nucleotide ribosomal RNA is filed under the name Apiotrichum laibachii. RNAcentral describes it as "eukaryotic LSU rRNA". It matches the Rfam family "Eukaryotic large subunit ribosomal RNA", at positions 72 to 667 of the family's 3401-position model. The record is from RNAcentral. Lineage: Eukaryota; Fungi; Basidiomycota; Tremellomycetes; Trichosporonales; Trichosporonaceae.
UGAUUCCUUAGUACGGCGAGUGAACCGGGAAGAGCUCAAAUUUGAAAUCUGGCUGUCUUCGAUAGUCCGAGUUGUAAUCUAUAGAAGCGUUUUCCGUGCUGAACUGUGUCUAAGUCCUCUGGAACGAGGUAUCAAAGAGGGUGACAAUCCCGUACUUGACACAAUCAUCAGUGCUCUGUGAUACGUUCUCUACGAGUCGAGUUGUUUGGGAAUGCAGCUCAAAAUGGGUGGUAAAUUCCAUCUAAAGCUAAAUAUUGGCGAGAGACCGAUAGCGAACAAGUACCGUGAGGGAAAGAUGAAAAGCACUUUGGAAAGAGAGUUAAACAGUACGUGAAAUUGUUAAAAGGGAAACGAUUGAAGUCAGUCGUGUUUAUUGGAUUCAGCCGGUCUUCGGUGUACUUCCUUUAAACGGGUCAACAUCAGUUUUGUUCGGUGGAUAAAGGCAGUAGGAAUGUGGCUCCCUCGGGAGUGUUAUAGCCUAUUGUCACAUACACUGGAGGAGACUGAGGACUGCAGCUCGCCUUUUUGGCCGGGGUUCGCCCACGUUCGAGCUUAGGAUGUUGACAUAAUGGCUUUAAACGACCCGUCUUGAAACCACGGCCC